AGACGAGAACCGGUUGUGCCAUACCUGGCAAGUAUUCUAACUAAACGAACUAGAUCGACCAUGACCGUAGAUUUCCUCUAUAGCUAUUUCUCCAACGGCGUAGAUCCACCAACAGAUAACAAGCGCGAUCCACUAAAGCUGCCUGCGGGCCGAGGCUUAGAUAAAAUAAUGGCUCUUCUUCCACGCGAGAUCGGCGACGUAACGUUUCCUUCUGAAGGUGAACGAUCGGUAAAACUUCUUCUUAAACGCCGUCGAGGAAGCGCCGCAAGUCGAUGUAGGACACGCCGCCGGGGAAGCCGGAGGCGUUGCAAGGAGGUCGCCGUGGUACUUGAGACCCACCACGUCCACCCGGAAACAGUGGACCUUUAGCUUGACGGAGGUCGAGGGAGAGGAGCCGACACGGCGGAGAGAUGGCAGGCGGUGAGGAAGAGCAGGUGCCAGUGGGGUAGAUCACUGCGAAGCCCAAGUCCGACGACGGCGGGGGAGGGUGGCGGAGGUAGAAGCUCUCUUCGAUUUCUUCCCCCCAAGCCUCCCGGUCUCUUCCCUAGAACCCAAUGCCCCCAACCUCUGGCCGGCCGCCACCAUCAGCACCGGCGACCGCCGCGACCUCCAAGCUCAAACGUCAUAAAAUUUCAACGCCCACCCAACCCGGAAGCUUUCUUUCGGAUGCCUCGGAGGUUGCAGACUUCGGCCUUACAGAGUCUUUUGAGGUAGAGGAGGGCCUUCUUGCACAGUGCAGAGAGGGUAAAUUUAGGUAGGGAUCCAACUCUAAUAUUUUUGGUUCGGGUUCGGGUUUGUUUAGUUUGUUGCCAGAGCGCAACGAGACCCCUGCCGCCCAAAUCAGAGACUCUGCUAUUCUCACCCGACCCAACCUCGACGCCUUGAUCGGCUCUUGCGUCGCGUAGAAAGUUGGGAGCUUUUCUUCGUUGCUUCCCUCCAUUAAUUCGCUCCUCGCAUACGUCCACCGCUUCAAUUUGUGCGCAGAAUUUCUAAUCUGGCAUGGCUUCGGUAAAGACGACGCCAAUCGCUCGUCCAAAUCCCCAUCCGGGCAGGGACCUUGUCCCCCAAUUUGUCCUUUUUUUUUUGUUUUUUCCCCUGAAUCUUUUCAUCUCUCUCCUUUUUUUUUAAUGCAGAUCUAAGAACCCAUAGAAAGAUCCCGAUGACGGCCGCCAACGAGUUCUUCUCAACUUGGAGUUCGUUCGGUGCCUGGCAAACCCUACCUACAUCCACUGUACCUUUGGAGUGCAGUCUGGCUCCUUAUAUCAUCCCUGUCCGGAAAAGUUGGAAUUCUAUUUUUGGAAUGCGAAUGAGCAGAGCGCAAGGGUUCUUGAGGACAAGAUUCAGAGCUUAUGCAGGACAGCGCAGCAUCAUGCGGCACAUCAUGUGGAAGAGUUUUUUGGGCGGAUCAGGAAUCGACUUCUACUCCUCUUCGCUAUGUACUUUUUUCUGAUUUUAUUGGGUGCGCUCACACAGCUAGCGUAAGUAACCGCUGUAGCAAAAAAAAAAAGAAUAACGUAAGAGAACUUGAGUUUCGAGACUAGAUGCUCCAUCCUUUUUGGAAUACUCACUAUUGCUCCCAAAUUUUUGUUUAUUCUUUCCAUCUCUUUGGCAAUUGGCAUGGCAUAUUUGUGAUUAUUUGGACUCCAAAUAGGAUAUGCAUUUUCUAAACAAUACCUUAUGUUUUCCCAUUUUUGGUAGUUGAAUCUUGAUAAAAGCAGGGACUGAGCUUUUGCCUGCUAGUCUGAAACUGAAAGAACCAAGGGGAGCUUCAAGGAAGGGCCUUCAAUUCAUCAACACGGUACGACCCCUGUUGCAGGAAUUUAGAAAGCAUCUACUUCCCAAAUUCUCACGAGGACCUGUAACAGUGUACGAGAGGUAGGUAUUUGGUGAGCAGGUACAAAUUGUGUUUCUGUAGCAGUGCAUCGAGAUGCAUGCUUGAUGAAUGAGGUCAAUAGAAAGGAGCAAUUGUGAUUGGUGGUGUAGGAAAUAAUUUUUCCUCAACCAGAAUGUAGAGAACCAAGUGUUCCCAACUUAGUGUCUUUCACUCACUCUUUUCUUUAUUUUUUUUGUUUUUGUUUUUGUUUUUUUUUAUUUUUUGCUUCCUUUCCGGACAGUGAGAGAUAUCAGGUUCUUCAGUGUAGGGCGGUCAAGCAAGCAAGCCGCUACUGAUGAACCUCUGUUACUUGAUAUAAGCAUGCUCCACGGUCGAGUAAAUGAGCCAAGCUCAAAGUCAGGUUGUUUAACUUAAUGCAUAUAAAUAUGUUUAAAUACUAUGUACAUAUACGUAUAUAUAAAGUCUUUUUAAUCAUA
Molecule: long non-coding RNA, 2310 nt
Organism: Phoenix dactylifera (date palm)
Lineage: Eukaryota; Viridiplantae; Streptophyta; Magnoliopsida; Arecales; Arecaceae
Source: RefSeq, a predicted model, not a curated record